UUACGUAGGUGACCUGCGGAGGAUCAUUA
RNAcentral lists this ribosomal RNA (29 nucleotides) under Aspergillus sp. RNAcentral describes it as "partial 18S ribosomal RNA". The record is from RNAcentral. Lineage: Eukaryota; Fungi; Ascomycota; Eurotiomycetes; Eurotiales; Aspergillaceae.